CCGUCUCUUGUCUCGAUGGAAUUUGUUUUUGUUGGGCUCUUGUCUCUAUUCGAUCCAAUCUAUCAUGCAAUAUAUCAAAAUUUGAUUUCACCAUUCUACGCAUUUCUUGCAUUAAAUAUUGGAAAUCUGAUUCAGAAAAUUCUUCUUGAAACAUGAUUUAAUUCUCACCACAAAAAUCUCACGUUUCACUCGCAAAGAAAAAUUCGCACAAAUUUGGCUUUUACUUCUCUCGAAUGGUCUCACCAAACACUCUUUCCUUUUUCCACUCGAUUUUCGCCUCUCGAAGUUCUUCGCAAACUAAGUCAACAAAUUAAUACCGUUUGGCGUCGGCUUACAAAAUUAAUUUGGCUUGGUGGUAAUGACGUCGGAAAUGGUAGGCUAUCAAACAAAAUAGAAAUGGUUAAGUGUGGCUAUAUAGAUAUGGUCCUUCGGGCAACAAGCAAUGCUUUUACAAACCCAAAACGAAUUUCAAUCACUUUUUUUUUUUUCAAUUUUGAUUUUUUUUUCUUCUUUUUUUGUUUUAAUUCCGAAUUUUUUUUUUCUUCUUUUUUUUUUCUUCAAUACUAAAUACAAA
RNAcentral lists this long non-coding RNA (574 nucleotides) under Gossypium barbadense (sea-island cotton). RNAcentral describes it as "long non-coding RNA (GBAR_LNC019137)". Lineage: Eukaryota; Viridiplantae; Streptophyta; Magnoliopsida; Malvales; Malvaceae. The record is from RNAcentral.